This 495-nucleotide ribosomal RNA is filed under the name uncultured bacterium. RNAcentral's name for it is "partial 16S ribosomal RNA". It matches the Rfam family "Bacterial small subunit ribosomal RNA", at positions 28 to 507 of the family's 1533-position model. The record is from RNAcentral.
GACGAACGCUGGCGGCGUGCCUAAUACAUGCAAGUAGAACGCUGAAGGAGGAGCUUGCUCUUCUGGAUGAGUUGCGAACGGGUGAGUAACGCGUAGGUAACCUGCCUGGUAGCGGGGGAUAACUAUUGGAAACGAUAGCUAAUACCGCAUAAGAGUAGAUGUUGCAUGACAUUUACUUAAAAGGUGCAAUUGCAUCACUACCAGAUGGACCUGCGUUGUAUUAGCUAGUUGGUGGGGUAACGGCUUACCAAGGCGACGAUACAUAGCCGACCUGAGAGGGUGAUCGGCCACACUGGGACUGAGACACGGCCCAGACUCCUACGGGAGGCAGCAGUAGGGAAUCUUCGGCAAUGGACGGAAGUCUGACCGAGCAACGCCGCGUGAGUGAAGAAGGUUUUCGGAUCGUAAAGCUCUGUUGUAAGAGAAGAACGAGUGUGAGAGUGGAAAGUUCACAAUGUGACGGUAUCUUACCAGAAAGGGACGGCUAACUACGUG